GUGGUCUAUGGUGAAUGCUAUCGCUGGAGUAAGUUGUUUACCUUCAAUUUGGGAAGCGUCAUGAUUGGACUACCCUGAUGGCGUCAUGAUCGCUGCUGAUUGCCUUUCAAAUAGGUUUUCAGCAUUCUGCUUACACCUUUGGCAUAGAGUCACAUAUUUCACAAUCCAACAUCAAUUGGUAGCAACAGCAGCCCUUCUCUCCAUCAUCCAGAAGGGUCUGAGAUCAGUGUUGGAGAUGAUGGUUCGGAACAACCCAUGGAAAGCUUAUCACUCAUUGAUGCUGUGAUGCCUGAUGUUGUUGCAAGUCGUCAACAGCAAACACAGAACAAUCAGAAACCACAAGUGGUAAAGACAGAACCACCAAAUUCCAAUGGAGAUGAACCCAUGCAUUCCUAUCGCUGGGAAGAGGAAACAGGAGUAGAGAUACCUGCCAGCAAAUCAACUGUACUACGUGGCCAUGAAUCUGAAGUUUUCAUCUGCGCCUGAACCCAACAACUGAUUUAUUGGCUUCUGGCUCUGGUGAUAGCACUAAGGACAUACGAAUGAAGUAAACGCUAUCAAGUGGGAUCCUCAGGGUAAUCUUUUGGCUUCCUGUUCUCACGAUAUUGUGUACAGUGUCGCAUUUUCUCCCGAUGGCAAAUACCUAGCAUCUGGUAGCUUUGACUAAGGUGUACACAGCUGGUCUACUCAGUCAGGGCAAUUGUUACACAGCUACAAAGGAACUAGAGGCAUUUUUGAAGUUUGCUGGAAUUCUCGGGGCGAUAAAGUUGGAGCAAAUGCUUUUGACGGAACCGGGUUGGUUACUAUUCACGUUCUUCAGCAAUCAGAUCCAUGCAGUGCUUGCUAAAUCCGUGCAGAUCCAAUCGGCCAAUUAAUUCGGCCAUUGUGACAGGUUUCAAGUGAAGCGAAAACGGACAAAUUACCAAACUGGAAUCAGCGCAAGCGACAGCUCUUAUGCAAGAAGUCGUACCUACCCUCACAAGUUUGUUUGAAGUGCAUAAUGGAAUUAUACAUCUCCAACAAAUAAGUCUUCUAAUCCUGUGGCAGGCGCACGGUUGAAAGCCGAAAAUUUCAAAAGGUACAAGUUGGCAUUAAACGCUUUGUGUUUCCUCAUUAAGGUUGAAAGGAGUACAAUCAUGGAAACAUUACUAGUUGGCCUUAGAACUACUCAUCGUCGCUCUCAUGAGACAUAUUGUAUCGGUCGAUUUCUUCGUCGUUAAUGUUUAAGGGGUGGUCGGGAACGACAGUGGGGAAUGAAGUUUUUAGUUCAAGAACUAUUUCUUCAAGUAGUUCCAUGACCACAGGGUAAAUAAGAUGGAGUUUUUCAACUGGGUCUCCUUUUUCCUAUGGGCCCUAAUUUUUUCGUGAGAAAGAAGCUUCUGCGUAAGCUUAACGUCCUCGCACAGCUGUUGAAGAACCAUUGUCAUCUUAUAAAACGGUAGAUUGGGCCCACCCGCCAACUGUUAAGAGUGUAAAAAUAAGUAUUUUAAAUAUUUAUAUCAAAUAUUUAUAUUUAUAAAUUUACCUUAUUCCAAUCAUUAUGAAGAACUGGGGAACUUGUGUUGAAAGCGGCAAAACUCGUCUGAUGGUACCAUCAAAGAGAGAAAAAGACAGGCCACCACGAAAUCAUAAUUAAGGGAAAUUUCAAAAUAUAAAACAAGCGGUUAACAAAUUGAA
Daphnia pulicaria is the source of this 1677-nucleotide long non-coding RNA. RefSeq lists it as uncharacterized. Lineage: Eukaryota; Metazoa; Arthropoda; Branchiopoda; Diplostraca; Daphniidae. The record is from RefSeq and is a predicted model, not a curated record. The transcript has 10 exons.